RNAcentral lists this ribosomal RNA (119 nucleotides) under Collichthys lucidus (big head croaker). Lineage: Eukaryota; Metazoa; Chordata; Actinopteri; Sciaenidae. The record is from RNAcentral.
GCUUACGGCCAUACCACCCUGAACACGCCCGAUCUCGUCCGAUCUCGGAAGCUAAGCAGGGUCGGGCCUGGUUAGUACUUGGAUGGGAGACCGCCUGGGAAUACCAGGUGCUGUAAGCC